CUCCGCCCCUAUUGUGGGCCUUGCAAUGUUUGGUUGUCUAUUGCUAUUCGAAGAUAUGGCUCCCACUCAAACAAAGAAUACAUAGCCCAUUGUUGACCUUCAAUCGUUUGCAUCUCUCUUGGUUCUAAGCACCCACUUACAUCCAAUUGUUGUGGAAAGAUGUGGUUCUUUCACCAUUCACCUUGUGGUCUUCUCUCACGUGUUGGAUAUCUUCUUUCA
RNAcentral lists this long non-coding RNA (219 nucleotides) under Physcomitrium patens. RNAcentral describes it as "long non-coding RNA (PPAT_LNC007120)". Lineage: Eukaryota; Viridiplantae; Streptophyta; Bryopsida; Funariales; Funariaceae. The record is from RNAcentral.